This 362-nucleotide transfer-messenger RNA is filed under the name uncultured Actinomycetes bacterium. RNAcentral's name for it is "uncultured actinobacterium transfer-messenger RNA, SsrA". It matches the Rfam family "transfer-messenger RNA". Rfam says of the family: Bacterial tmRNA, also known as 10Sa RNA or SsrA, is named for its dual tRNA and mRNA-like properties. Lineage: Bacteria; Bacillati; Actinomycetota; Actinomycetes. The record is from RNAcentral.
GGGGGUGACAGGUUUCGACGAUCAGAUUCCUGCGCCCGGAGAAGCGUGUCGAGAAUGUUGGGUCAACUCGUUAAUGUCCCCGGCAACUAAUAACUGCCAACAAAAAGCAGUCCGCGUUCGCUCUCGCUGCCUAAGCGAUCGACGCCGUCAGACCGAGAAGUUCCCGACUCGGAACCUGGCGCCAUCUAGGGAACUCACCAAACGCCCCGGUCACGGGGGCGCGCGGAACAUCUCACAGUGACUGGGCCGCCACCGCGUAGUGCCGCACGAAGCGCGGGGGCCGAGAAGCAAUAGCGCGGCUACACACGUAGAAGGCCGGAGUAGUCCUGAACGGACCCGGGUUCGAUUCCCGGCACCUCCAC